CCCCUAGACGUUCUGGGCUGCACGCGCGCUACAAUAAUACGCACAGCGAGUAUCACCGAGCUCGAAAGGGCAAGGUAAACAAUAGAAAAGGUACUGUAAUGGUUAUAGAUCCUUGUAAUUAUUGAUCUUCAACGAGGAAUUCCUAGUAAGUAUGUGUCAUCAUCACGCACUGAUUACGUCCCUGCCCUUUGUACACACCGCCCGUCGCUCCUACCGAUUGGGUGAGCCGAUGAAACUCUCGGAUGUAGGCUAUUCAUAGCCUGCAGAAGAGAUUUGAAUCGUAGCGCUUAGAGGAAGGAGAAGUCGUAACA
RNAcentral lists this ribosomal RNA (311 nucleotides) under uncultured eukaryote. RNAcentral describes it as "partial 18S ribosomal RNA". It matches the Rfam family "Eukaryotic small subunit ribosomal RNA", at positions 1470 to 1796 of the family's 1831-position model. The record is from RNAcentral.